CAAGAAACGAGGCCGCGUGCGCUCGCCCGCCCGGCCCCGCUCCUUACCUUGCCUACUGCACCGUUUGUUGCUUCCUGGCGGCGGACUGCCCGCCAGCCAGGGACGUUGAUACAACCCUGUAUAGAAGCAUUGAAGCUCUGAGAAAACGCGAAAUCGUA
RNAcentral lists this unclassified non-coding RNA (158 nucleotides) under soil metagenome. Its description in RNAcentral is "partial internal transcribed spacer 1". The record is from RNAcentral.